Molecule: long non-coding RNA, 2028 nt
Organism: Bos taurus (domestic cattle)
Lineage: Eukaryota; Metazoa; Chordata; Mammalia; Artiodactyla; Bovidae
Source: Ensembl
CCUCCCUAACCCCGCACACACAUUCCCCCAGUUACUCAGGAAAUACUAAUUUAGGUGCAGUGGUAAGAGAUUUUACAUAUGCAAUUAAAGGUCCCAAAUCAGCUGACCUUAAAAUCUGGAAAUUAUCUUUGGUGGGCCUGACUUAAGCAGGUGAGCCUUGAAUGUAAUUAGGCUUUUUCCUGGUAAAAGAUUAGACGCAUGCAAAGGAUUUAUUAGGGGCAAGAUUCUCCUCUGCUAGCUGUUGAGAUGAAGUGGGGCAGUGGCAAGGAAACUGGGCAGCCUUUAGAAGCUGAGAGUAACCCCUGACUGACUGAUAGCAAAGAAAGAGGAGAAAUUAAAUUCUGCCCAGUGAGCUUGGAAGAGAACCCUGAGCUCCAUGUGAAAACAGAGCAGCAGCUAACACCCUGACUCUAGCUUUGUGGGAACCUAAACAGAGAAGCUAGUCAAAGCUAUGGUUUUUCCAGUAGAAUUGAUGCUUUUGAACUUUGGUGUUGGAGAAGACUCUUGAGGGUCCCUUGGACUGCAAGGAGAUCCAAUCAAUCCAUCCUAAAGGAAAUCAGUCCUGAAUAUUCAUUGGAAGGACUGAUGCUGAAGCUGAAACUCCAAUACUUUGGCCACCUGAUGAGAAGAACUGACUCACUGGAAAAAACCCUGAUGCCGGGAACGAUUGAAGGCAAGAGGAGAAGGGGACAACAGAGGAUGAGACGGUUGGAUGGCAUCACUGACUCAAUGGACAUGAGUUUGAGCCAUCUCCAGGAGUUGGUGACGGACAGGGAAGCCUAGCGUGCUGCAGUCCAUGGGGUCACAAAGAGUCGGACACUGAACUGAACUGACUGAAACAGAACCAGCCACGCUUUGUCAAGCUGCUAACUUUGUGGUAAUUUGUUAUACAGCCAUAGAAAAUGAAUACAGGUGGUCAUUUGAAAGAGAGAGACUGCCUGGACAAAGGCGCAGAGGUGUAGAGCAGCAAAAGUUUUUAAAAACAAGAUGGAAGAGUGGAAUAGCCAUCAUCAUUCCUGGAAUAUAACAAUGCUUUCUUCUGCCGGUGUCAGGAGGGGCGCUCCAUCCAGCAGCUGGGCGAUAAUACCCGUUAAGGGUGCCAAGGACUGGACCUUGAUGACUGUCCGUUUGUCAUUUGCGCCCAAGGCAAGAUGCUGGGAAGAAGGGCGCCUUCCUGUCAGCAUCUAUUACUCUGGAGUGAACAGUCUUUGUACCAUUCACUUUCAAAAAUCUAGACCCACCCCCUCCCACCUCCUUGGAUGCUCACAGUUGCUUCAUCUCUCCUGUGGGUUCACUUCCAAGGAGCUUCUUCCCCUGGACUCAGCCCUCAAGCAUUCUAAUUGAAAAUACCACCACCACCGCCCCCCACCCCAGGCCUAAAGCCUGGCUCCACUACCUGCUGCUUUGUCCCUAAAGUAGAGGCUUACGAUUAAACCACAGAAAAAGCACCGGCCCGAGUGAGCAAGAAAACAGCAGGAGCCCAAGGACUCCUGUGAACAAAGAGUCUGAUUGUUUUCAUGCAAAUUGUUUUUAGUAGGAGGGAGAUAACAGGCAAAUGAAAUAUGGGAGAUAGGCAGAGAUUUUUUUUUUUUUCUAAAGCAGUGGAAGGGGCUGGUAGUUCUUUAAUAAAACCACAGCACAUCUUAUUACAGGGAAACAUCCAGCUCCCACAUUUUUUAUUGAAUGAAAGAGAAUUUCUGCUCUCCACUCUGGCUCCUCUUCCUCCCCUUCCAGUCCAGUGCAAUUAUGUCUCUUUCUGCUUUCCUGACAGUUCAUCUUAGCCUUGUCUGAAAUAGUCUGUUUUGGAAUGUUACUGCUACCUAAUAAUGAAAAGUGUAUCACCAGAGAGUGAUUUUAAGUGAUAGGGAGAAUAAGCAACAUUAAUUCUACUAGUUGUCUGUUUAUUAUUAACAUACUUAAGAAAUACUGUGUCUAGCACAUCCAAUCCAUGAUUUUAUUACAGGUAAUGGCAGCCCUGGUUUUAAAAAGUGAAUUAAUAUAGAGCCAAUAAAGAGAAAAGUAUUAAAU